Molecule: ribosomal RNA, 567 nt
Filed under: uncultured archaeon
Lineage: Archaea
Description: bacterial SSU rRNA
Rfam family: Archaeal small subunit ribosomal RNA
Source: RNAcentral
CGGGGUGCAGCAGGCGCGAAAACUCUACAAUGCAGGCAACUGCGAUAGGGGAACAUCGAGUGGCACCCACCAUGGGUGUCUGUCCAACCGUCUAAAAAACGGUUGUUAGCAAGGGCCGGGUAAGACCGGUGCCAGCCGCCGCGGUAAUACCGGCGGCUCGAGUGGUGGCCGAUAUUAUUGAGUCUAAAGGGUCCGUAGCUGGCUUUGCAAGUCCCCUGGGAAAUCCAGCGGCUUAACCGUUGGGCUUCCAUGGGAUACUACAUUGCUUGGGACUGGGAGAGGUAGGAGGUACUCAGGGGGUAGGGGUGAAAUCCUGUAAUCCUCUGGGGACCACCGGUGGCGAAGGCGUCCUACCAGAACAGGUCCGACAGUGAGGGACGAAAGCUAGGGGCACGAACCGGAUUAGAUACCCGGGUAGUCCUAGCCGUAAACGAUGCUCGCUAGGUGUCACGGCAGUCGUGAAUUGUCGUGGUGCCGUAGGGAAGCCGUGAAGCGAGCCACUUGGGAAGUACGACCGCAAGGUUGAAACUUAAAGGAAUUGGCGGGGGAGCACAAGGGCGAUUCGCG